UACAGAGACUGCAAGCGUUAUUCGGAUUCACUGGGCGUAAAGGGUGCGCAGGCGGCCGUGUGUGUUAGGUGUGAAAGCCCGGGGCUUAACCUCGGAAUUGCGCCUAAAACUACACGGCUAGAGCAUUGGAGAGGGUAGCGGAAUUCACGGUGUAGCAGUGAAAUGCGUAGAUAUCGUGAGGAACACCAGAGGCGAAGGCGGCUACCUGGACAAUUGCUGACGCUCAGGCACGAAAGCGUGGGGAGCAAAAGGG
RNAcentral lists this ribosomal RNA (253 nucleotides) under uncultured bacterium. RNAcentral's name for it is "partial 16S ribosomal RNA". It matches the Rfam family "Bacterial small subunit ribosomal RNA", at positions 524 to 776 of the family's 1533-position model. The record is from RNAcentral.